Molecule: ribosomal RNA, 681 nt
Filed under: uncultured Cytophagales bacterium
Lineage: Bacteria; Pseudomonadati; Bacteroidota; Sphingobacteriia; Sphingobacteriales
Description: bacterial SSU rRNA
Rfam family: Bacterial small subunit ribosomal RNA
Source: RNAcentral
UCGAAAGCGUGGGGAGCAAACAGGAUUAGAUACCUUGUAGUCCACGCUGUAAACGAUGGAUGCUAGAUGUCGGGCCUUAACCGGUUCGGUGUCGAAGUUAACGCGAUAAGCAUCCCGCCUGGGGAGUACGUUCGCAAGGCUGAAACUCAAAGGAAUUGACGGGGGCCCGCACAAGCGGUGGAGUAUGUGGUUUAAUUCGAUGCAACGCGAAGAACCUUACCUGGACUUAAAUGUAGAUUGACAGGACUAGAGAUAGUUUUUUCUUCGGACAAUUUACAAGGUGCUGCAUGGUUGUCGUCAGCUCGUGCCGUGAGGUGUCGGGUUAAGUCCCAUAACGAGCGCAACCCCUAUCUUUAGUUACCAGCACGUAAUGGUGGGGACUCUAAAGAGACUGCCUGGGUAACCAGAGAGGAAGGUGGGGAUGACGUCAAAUCAGCACGGCCCUUACGUCCAGGGCUACACACGUGUUACAAUGGUCGGUACAAAGGGCAGCUACCUAGCGAUAGGAUGCUAAUCUCUAAAACCGGUCUCAGUUCGGAUCGGAGUCUGCAACUCGACUCCGUGAAGCUGGAUUCGCUAGUAAUCGCAUAUCAGCCAUGAUGCGGUGAAUACGUUCCCGGGCCUUGUACACACCGCCCGUCAAACCAUGGAAGUUGGGGGUACCUGAAAUCUGUUACCGCA